AGGAGGAACAGCCCCAGUGGCGGGGCCAGCUCUGGAAACCUGGAUUCAGCUCCGGCAGGAACUCCGUCUGCAGGGCCUGGAGGCUCCAGGGUGGG
RNAcentral lists this microRNA precursor (95 nucleotides) under Canis lupus familiaris (dog). RNAcentral's name for it is "mir-8834 microRNA precursor family". It matches the Rfam family "mir-8834 microRNA precursor family". RNAcentral also lists the same sequence under 1 other name. Lineage: Eukaryota; Metazoa; Chordata; Mammalia; Carnivora; Canidae. The record is from Rfam by way of RNAcentral.